UACAGAGGUCUCAAGCGUUGUUCGGAUUCAUUGGGCGUAAAGGGUGCGUAGGUGGCGAGGUAAGUUUGAUGUGAAAUCUCCGAGCUCAACUCGGAAAUGGCAUUGAAUACUAUCCCGCUUGAGGGUCGGAGGGGAGACUGGAAUUCUCGGUGUAGCAGUGAAAUGCGUAGAUAUCGGGAGGAACACCAGCGGCGAAGGCGGCACUCUGGGCUGGAACUGACGCUGAGGAGCGAAAGCGUGGGUAGCAAACAGG
RNAcentral lists this ribosomal RNA (253 nucleotides) under uncultured bacterium. RNAcentral describes it as "partial 16S ribosomal RNA". It matches the Rfam family "Bacterial small subunit ribosomal RNA", at positions 524 to 776 of the family's 1533-position model. The record is from RNAcentral.